GCCUGGGUGGCUCAGUCGGUUGAGUGUGUGACUUCGGCUCAGGUCAUGAUCUCACCGUCCGUGGGUUCGAGCCCCACGUCGGGCU
Non-coding RNA from Felis catus (domestic cat), 85 nucleotides. Lineage: Eukaryota; Metazoa; Chordata; Mammalia; Carnivora; Felidae. The record is from Rfam.